Molecule: ribosomal RNA, 1371 nt
Filed under: uncultured bacterium
Lineage: Bacteria
Description: bacterial SSU rRNA
Rfam family: Bacterial small subunit ribosomal RNA
Source: RNAcentral
GAUGAACGCUGGCGGCGUGCCUAAUACAUGCAAGUCGAGCGAACGGACGAGAAGCUUGCUUCUCUGAUGUUAGCGGCGGACGGGUGAGUAACACGUGGAUAACCUACCUAUAAGACUGGGAUAACUUCGGGAAACCGGAGCUAAUACCGGAUAAUAUUUUGAACCGCAUGGUUCAAAAGUGAAAGACGGUCUUGCUGUCACUUAUAGAUGGAUCCGCGCUGCAUUAGCUAGUUGGUAAGGUAACGGCUUACCAAGGCAACGAUGCAUAGCCGACCUGAGAGGGUGAUCGGCCACACUGGAACUGAGACACGGUCCAGACUCCUACGGGAGGCAGCAGUAGGGAAUCUUCCGCAAUGGGCGAAAGCCUGACGGAGCAACGCCGCGUGAGUGAUGAAGGUCUUCGGAUUGCAAAACUCUGUUAUUAGGGAAGAACAUAUGUGUAAGUAACUGUGCACAUCUUGACGGUACCUAAUCAGAAAGCCACGGCUAACUACGUGCCAGCAGCCGCGGUAAUACGUAUGUGGCAAGCGUUAUCCGGAAUUAUUGGGCGUAAAGCGCGCGUAGCGGUUUUUUAAGUCUGAUGUGAAAGCCCACGGCUCAACCGUGGAGGGUCAUUGGAAACUGGAAAACUUGAGUGCAGAAGAGGAAAGUGGAAUUCCAUGUGUAGCGGUGAAAUGCGCAGAGAUAUGGAGGAACACCAGUGGCGAAGGCGACUUUCUGGUCUGUAACUGACGCUGAUGUGCGAAAGCGUGGGGAUCAAACAGGAUUAGAUACCCUGGUAGUCCACGCCGUAAACGAUGAGUGCUAAGUGUUAGGGGGUUUCCGCCCCUUAGUGCUGCAGCUAACGCAUUAAGCACUCCGCCUGGGGAGUACGACCGCAAGGUUGAAACUCAAAGGAAUUGACGGGGACCCGCACAAGCGGUGGAGCAUGUGGUUUAAUUCGAAGCAACGCGAAGAACCUUACCAAAUCUUGACAUCCUUUGACAACUCUAGAGAUAGAGCUUUCCCCUUCGGGGGACAAAGUGACAGGUGGUGCAUGGUUGUCGUCAGCUCGUGUCGUGAGAUGUUGGGUUAAGUCCCGCAACGAGCGCAACCCUUAAGCUUAGUUGCCAUCAUUAAGUUGGGCACUCUAAGUUGACUGCCGGUGACAAACCGGAGGAAGGUGGGGAUGACGUCAAAUCAUCAUGCCCCUUAUGAUUUGGGCUACACACGUGCUACAAUGGACAAUACAAAGGGCAGCGAAACCGUGAGGUCAAGCAAAUCCCAUAAAGUUGUUCUCAGUUCGGAUUGUAGUCUGCAACUCGACUACAUGAAGCUGGAAUCGCUAGUAAUCGUAGAUCAGCACGCUACGGUGAAUACGUUCCCGGGUCU